RNAcentral lists this ribosomal RNA (253 nucleotides) under uncultured bacterium. RNAcentral's name for it is "partial 16S ribosomal RNA". It matches the Rfam family "Bacterial small subunit ribosomal RNA", at positions 524 to 776 of the family's 1533-position model. The record is from RNAcentral.
UACAGAGGUCUCAAGCGUUGUUCGGAUUCAUUGGGCGUAAAGGGUGUGUAGGUGGCGCCGUAAGUCGGGUGUGAAAUUUCGGAGCUUAACUCCGAAACUGCAUUCGAUACUGCGGUGCUUGAGGACUGGAGAGGAGACUGGAAUUCUCGGUGUAGCAGUGAAAUGCGUAGAUAUCGAGAGGAACACCAGUGGCGAAGGCGAGUCUCUGGACGAGUCCUGACACUGAGGCACGAAAGCCAGGGGAGCAAACAGG